RNAcentral lists this ribosomal RNA (497 nucleotides) under uncultured bacterium. RNAcentral's name for it is "partial 16S ribosomal RNA". It matches the Rfam family "Bacterial small subunit ribosomal RNA", at positions 28 to 507 of the family's 1533-position model. The record is from RNAcentral.
GAUGAACGCUGGCGGCGUGCCUAAUACAUGCAAGUCGAGCGGACGGACGAGAAGCUUGCUUCUCUGAUGUUAGCGGCACACGGGUGAGUCACACGUGUAUAACCUCCCUAUAAGACUGGUAUAACUUCGGGAAACCGGAGCUAAUCCCGGAUAAUAUUUUGAACCGCAUGGUUCAAAAGAGAAAGACGGUCUUGCUGUCUCGUAUAGAUGGAUCCGCGCUGCAUUAGCUAGUUGGUAAGGUAACGGCUUACCAAGGCAACGAUGCAUAGCCGACCUGAGAGGGUGAUCGGCCACACUGGAACGGAGACACGGUCCAGACUCCUACGGGAGGCAGCAGUAGGGAAUCGUCCGCAAUGGGCGAAAGCCUGACGGAGCAACGCCGCGUGAGUGAUGAAGGUCUUCGGAUCGUAAAACUCGGUUAUUAGGGAAGAACAUAUGUGUAAGUAACUGUGCACAUCUUGACGGUACCUAAUCAGAAAGCCACGGCUAACUACGUG